UACAGGGGGUGCAAACGUUGCUCGGAAUCAUUGGGCGUAAAGCGCACGUAGGCGGUUCGUUAUGUCGGAUGUGAAAGCCCUUGGCUUAACCGAGGAAGUGCAUCCGAAACUGGCGAGCUAGAGUACUAAAGAGGAUCGCGGAAUUCCCGGUGUAGAGGUGAAAUUCGUAGAUAUCAGGAGGAACACCGGUGGCGAAGGCGGGUCUCUGGGCCGAUACUGACGCUGAGGAGCGAAAGCGUGGGGAGCGAACAGG
RNAcentral lists this ribosomal RNA (253 nucleotides) under uncultured bacterium. RNAcentral describes it as "partial 16S ribosomal RNA". It matches the Rfam family "Bacterial small subunit ribosomal RNA", at positions 524 to 776 of the family's 1533-position model. The record is from RNAcentral.